Long non-coding RNA from Cebus imitator (Panamanian white-faced capuchin), 290 nucleotides. RefSeq lists it as uncharacterized. The transcript is spliced from 2 exons. The record is from RefSeq and is a predicted model, not a curated record. Lineage: Eukaryota; Metazoa; Chordata; Mammalia; Primates; Cebidae.
GUGUUGGAUUACAGGUAUGAGCCACCACGCCUGGCCUGUCGGCUCUUAUUUGCAUUUGAUUGACAAUCACAGCAUUCCUAUGCAGCAGGCAGGCUUCUCCAAGAAGGCCAGCAAGAGGAAUGGCAAGGGAGCAGGACCCUGCUUUACACCAGCUGCAUUUCUGAUCAGCCCAGGACGAUUCACAAGCAGCAGACAACAUGGCAGCCGCUAGCAAAACUUUGGGGUGAAAAGAAUGACCCAAAUUGGCCAAACGGGAGCUAUGAGGAACUGAAAUAAAACAGCGUGUCAUU